AUUGAACGCUGGCGGCAUGCUUUACACAUGCAAGUCGAACGGUAACAGGCCGCAAGGUGCUGACGAGUGGCGAACGGGUGAGUAAUGCAUCGGAACGUGCCCAGUCGUGGGGGAUAACGCAGCGAAAGCUGCGCUAAUACCGCAUACGAUCUCUGGAUGAAAGCGGGGGACCGAAAGGCCUCGCGCGAUUGGAGCGGCCGGUGUCAGAUUAGGGAGUUGGUGGGGUAAAGGCUCACCAAGCCAACGAUCUGUAGCUGGUCUGAGAGGACGACCAGCCCCACCGGGACUGUGACACGGCCCAGACUCCUACGGGGGGCAGCAGUGGGGAAUUUUGGACAAUGGGCGCAAGCCUGAUCCAGCAAUGCGGCGGGCAGGAAGAAGGCGUUAGGGUUGUAAUCUGCUUUUGUGCGGAACGAAACGGUCCUGGUUGAUACCUGGGGCUAAUGACGGUACCGUAAGCAUAAGCACCGGCUAACUACGUGCCAGCAGCCGCGGUAA
This 498-nucleotide ribosomal RNA is filed under the name uncultured bacterium. Its description in RNAcentral is "partial 16S ribosomal RNA". It matches the Rfam family "Bacterial small subunit ribosomal RNA", at positions 29 to 523 of the family's 1533-position model. The record is from RNAcentral.